This 314-nucleotide long non-coding RNA is filed under the name Gallus gallus (chicken). RNAcentral describes it as "long non-coding RNA NONGGAT001237". Lineage: Eukaryota; Metazoa; Chordata; Aves; Galliformes; Phasianidae. The record is from RNAcentral.
UGUGAACUGAGUCUUCUACUGGAUAACUACAAGAGCACCUGCUUUCAAAUGAGGCUCUGCAAAUUUCACUAAGGUGCCAAUUGUAUGAAGACAGUCCAAAGCUCCUAAGGGACAUUUGACUAGUAUGACUCAGUGCCCUCUUGAUGCGCACUUUGGAUGUUCACAUGCUAGGCAUGACACUGUGCCACUGUGACCACCAGCAACAAAGCAGCUGAACUGACCUCAGAAGAAAGGCCAUGGGAUUUCUGCUUUCAUAUGUGGAUAUCUUCCCAUGAUUUAUGACACGGAUGGGGUCCAACCAGUUACAAGUUUUG